GUGCAGAUCUUCUUCAACUCCUCCUGCUUCUAUCAUGGCACAUCAUGCUUCUCAGUCACCUCGCACUCUCGUUUAUAUGAGGUCUCGGGUAGGCACAUCUCCAUCCACCAUUUUGCAUCUUAUGGCACCAGAAGGGAACAUGGCGAUUGAUUGGAAAAAAGAUUGCUUAAGGAGUGGAUUACAGGCCACUGAGAUGGUGUCGAAGUACACUAGGAAACUUCCGUAGGGUAGGGAUUUUCUCCGGUUGAGAAGGGACACCGUGGGAACAGCAUCAGUUUAGGGAAAGUGUCUACACGUCUCAGACGAAUUCAUUCGGUUUCGUUCUUCCUGUGUUGUUUAGAAGUAGAUCUCCAACGAGAGAGAUAAUUUAAUAUGUAAAGCAAGACGUUCCUGUCCUCCUAAAUUGAUAGUUAUGUGUCAAAGUCAAGAUUGGGAGAGAAAAAGAGAAUAUAUGCAACAUAUGAUGUCGGGCAAUCGGGAGUGGAGAGGCCGUGAUGACCGGUCUCUAAGAACCAUCCUCUCAAGGGGAAAAAAUAUUUGUUUUCAUUUUUGAAAGGCAAAAGAAACAACCCUUUGUUUUGCGUCAAAUUUUGAAGUUCUAUACAUUGAAUUUUGAAUUUAGUGGUCCCUGUUGAAGCAUCAAUCAUGCGAAUCAUACAAUUUUCGUUUCCUUUCGUCUUUGAUGUUAGGUCAUGCAAUUUUCAGAGUCA
This is a long non-coding RNA of Eucalyptus grandis, 710 nucleotides long. RefSeq lists it as uncharacterized. The record is from RefSeq and is a predicted model, not a curated record. The transcript is spliced from 2 exons. NCBI's taxonomy places the organism in Eukaryota, Viridiplantae, Streptophyta, Magnoliopsida, Myrtales, Myrtaceae.